UAAUAAUAUGAUAAGGAAUUGAAUUUGUUAUAUGAUGAUAUGUAUAAAAUAACAAAGAAAGAAGUCAAAAUUAUUUAAUCAAAUGUAAAGUAAUAAAAACCAAAUAAGAUAAACAAAAACAAAUGUAUAUGAAACCAAUAAUUUAAAAUAUGAAAAUAGAGAAAAAUUGGGGUUCUUUAUCUCUUAGGUUGAAAUCUCAAAACCAACUUUAUGCAAUAAUUCAACUACUUUAUUCCUAGAUUCUGUUAAGUUUGAAUCAUUCAUGUUUGGAAUUACACAAUAUUUAAUACAUGAUUUAUGAGGGCAAAAACCAGUUCUUUUUUUUAGUAAAAAUAUGGCGUACACUUUUGUCAAAAAGAAAAAUAAACUUAUUAAUCUAAUUUUUCUUUUUGGAGACAGAAAGGCAAAUGCUCCUCUAGGUUUUGCCAUUCCAAAAAAGUAACAUUUAUUAUGGUACACAAUAUAACUCAUUACCUUUUAUUCUAUUUACCAUAAACCAAUUACCUUAAUAUGUUACCCACUCACAAUUGAGUCUAACUUUUUUUUUUUUUUUUUUCUUUUAAAUUAAAGUUUGUAGCCUCUUGACGCUCUUGAUAUAAAUGAAAGUAAUUGUUUGUUAUGGGUGAUCGAUGUUAAAAUUCGUUUAGAUGCCAUAUCUAGUUAAGGAAUGGCAAAGACUAUGGUUUUUCAAAUGAUCGACAAAUAUCAUGAUUUUUUUUUGACAUCUUCACAAGGGAUUAAAGGUUGAAUAUUUUACGGUAAAAGAUCCCUAUAAUCGAUGACAAAGUUUGAAAGAAAUGUAUGAUCAUAAAAAAAAAAAAACAAUAAUGAAGGGAUAAAAGCUCUGGCAACGGAAUAUUUAAUAUAGACCGCAAGGAGGUGCGCAAGAUUUGUACUAAAAUUUUGAAAACUUUUCGAAGAACCUCACAAGGCAAGCAAAAGUAAAGCGUUUUAAACUAAGCCAAAAGCAAAAUAAUUGUUGUAAAUUUAGUAAUCUAGGAUUAAAUUAAUCUUAACUUGACAUCAAUGCCUUGAUACUUGGAGAAGGAAAAAAAUACUUAGUGAGUGAGGUUUUAGAAAUCCUUCAUGGAGAAUACAAUACAAUCAAGUAAAUUCAUUUUCUAUAAAUAGGCUCAUAACACCUCAUUUAAAACAUAUAAAACACUAAUUAGCCUCUAUUUAUUCAUUUCACCGAGAACAUGAACCAUUCAUAGCAUAGACUAAUGUAAUUUCUCAUAUCACCGACAUUCCUUAGAGAAUUUCUUGAUUCAUUUCCCAUUUCUGAAAGGUGCUAACUCAAUAUGCUCAUUCUAACGCAUUAACUAGAUUUUUACUAUCAUGUGGUCAUUUCACCCCAUAGUUGUCUUGACUCAUUAUGUGCACAUAAUAACUAGUUUAUGAUAGGAAUAUAGCUAAUGGUUUACUCGCAUACAUAACAUACAAUCAUCACAUACAAACUUUAUCUCAUAAACUUUCUUUUUAAAUAAACAAGCUAUUUAAUCAACAUCAACCACAUCACAUGAACAUUUCAUUACAACAUAAAGACUAAGAACCAAUGCUUUUAGAACACUGGCACUCACAAACAAAAAUUGCUAAAGUUGUAUUUUUACAAAAUUCAUCAAAGCUCAGUUGAAAUUGUGAAAUUAGAUUAUGAAUAAAAGAAAGAAUGAUAGUAAAGAAUAAACAAAAUGUUUAAAACGAUGACUUUUCUUUUGUUU
RNAcentral lists this long non-coding RNA (1718 nucleotides) under Cucumis sativus (cucumber). Its description in RNAcentral is "long non-coding RNA (CSAT_LNC000889)". Lineage: Eukaryota; Viridiplantae; Streptophyta; Magnoliopsida; Cucurbitales; Cucurbitaceae. The record is from RNAcentral.